GUCCACCCGAGAUGAAUUGCUCCGCCAACUGUCUUAUAAUCUCAAUAGAGCUCAACAACGCAUGGUUAGGGCUGCUAAUAAGCAUCGAAGAGAAGUGGAGUAUAAGAUUAGGGAUGUUGUUUUUCUUAAUAUUCGACCUCAACGCCAGUCUACUCUUUCUAAGAUCAUUCAUCCAAAAUUAGCAGCCCGCUAUCUUGGUCCAUUUCCAAUUAUUCAGAAAAUUGGUGCAGUUGCUUACAAGUUGCAGUUACCAGAGUCAUAAAAAAUACAUCCCAUCUUCCAUGUUUCUCAAUUAAAAAAGGUUGUUGGACAGCAUCCAGGAGCUACUAAUUUACCUAAAGACCUGGAAAUUGAUGAUGAGUUAGUAGAGCCUGAGACUUUAUUGCAGAAAAGAUUAGAAGUGGUUAAUGGGAUUCAAGUGCUACAGGUCUUAGUCAAAUGGAAGGGCAAACCCCUAGAGGAUGCUACCUGGAUGUCAUAUGUUGAUUUUGUGAAUCAAUUUUCAGCUGCCAACCUUGAGGACAAGGUUGUUCUCCAAGGGCGGAGUACUGAUAAAAGCAGCCCAUUAGUGAAUCAUGA
Molecule: unclassified non-coding RNA, 579 nt
Filed under: Hevea brasiliensis (rubber tree)
Lineage: Eukaryota; Viridiplantae; Streptophyta; Magnoliopsida; Malpighiales; Euphorbiaceae
Source: RNAcentral